CUUCGGCCCGAGUUGUAAUUUGCAGAGGAUGUUUAUGGUGCGGUACCUUCCGAGUUCCCUGGAACGGGACGCCACAGAGGGUGAGAGCCCCGUCUGGUUGGAUACCAAACCUGUGUUAAACUCCUUCAACGAGUCGAGUAGUUUGGGAAUGCUGCUCUAAAUGGGAGGUAAAUCUCUUCUAAAGCUAAAUACUGGCCAGAGACCGAUAGCGCACAAGUAGAGUGAUCGAAAGAUGAAAAGCACCUUGAAAAGGGGGUUAAACAGUACGUGAAAUUGUUGAAAGGGAAGCGUUUAUGACCAGACUUGUGUCGUGUGGCUCAUCCGAGGUUUUCCCCGGUGCACUCCACGCGGCUCAGGCCAACAUCGGUUCUCGUUGGGGGAUAAGAACAGUAGGAACGUAGCUCCUCUCGGGGAGUGUUAUAGCCUGUUGUACGAUACUCUGACGGGGACCGAGGACCGCGCUUCGGCUAGGAUGUUGGCGUAAUGGUCAUUAGCGACCCGUCUUGAAACACGGACCAAGGAGUCGUCCAUUAGAGCGAGCGUUUGGGUGUAAAACCCGCACGCGUAAUGAAAGUGAAAUUAGGUGAGAGCUUCGGCGCAUCAUCGACCGAUCCUGAAGUUUACGGAUGGAUUUGAGUAAGAGUUUUAACGGACGGACCCGAAAGACAGUGAACUAUGCUUGAAUAGGGUGAAGCCAGAGGAAACUCUGGUGGAGGCUCGCAGCGGUUCUGACGUGCAAAUCGAUCGUCAAAUUUGAGCAUGGGGGCGAAAGACUAAUCGAAC
RNAcentral lists this ribosomal RNA (783 nucleotides) under Plagiostoma petiolophilum. RNAcentral's name for it is "eukaryotic LSU rRNA". It matches the Rfam family "Eukaryotic large subunit ribosomal RNA", at positions 131 to 940 of the family's 3401-position model. Lineage: Eukaryota; Fungi; Ascomycota; Sordariomycetes; Diaporthales; Gnomoniaceae. The record is from RNAcentral.